UGUGUGCAUUUUUAAAAGAAAUAGGAAAUGGCGGAGAGUGAACCCGAGCAAAGACUGGGGACUCCUCAGAAACACCUCCCGACGUGUGACAAACAUAGUGAACUUACUGAUAUUUUCUGUGAGGACUGUGAUGAAUUUAUUUGUACUGAUAGUGCCAAAACGGAUCACAAAGAUCACAACUGGGUCACAAUAGUCAAGGCGGCCAGUCAAAGGAGGAGGCAACUCUUCCGGUUUAUACAGAAUAUCAAGGAAGAGAAAGUACCGAAAAUUGACAGAAAGAUAGAAAAUACAUCGAUAAAGAUUGAAGAAAUUGAAAAGCAAGGCGAAAGCGAAAUACAAAAACUACGGAAGCAUUUUGAUGAAAUCAUAGGGAGACUUACAGAAAUCAAGACACGUCACGAAAAGACACUGAGAGACAAUCUCAUUGAAAGAUGUGAACAGGUGAAUUGUUUGAAAACUCAAUAUGAAAAAGACAAACAAAAUAUUGUUGAGAUGGUGAAAUUGAUGGAGGAGAAUAAUAGUACCAUGUCUGAUUACAAAUUGAUUAAUCAUCACAGAGAAAUGUCACAACUUGUGUCUGCUGUGGAUGUUAAUACGAAGACCUCUGCUACGGAAAUCUAUGAAUAUUCUUUGAGAUACACAGGGAGAGAACUCUGUGAUGAUGAAUUAGAUUCCAUGGUGGGACAAACGUUUGAUUUAGAAGACAUUAAUGCUACUGAGAUAGUAAACUCAUUUCAAUACAGUGAUAAAUAUAUUACAAUACUGAAUGCCUUUAGUGAGAACGAAAGUUAUGUUCAAUUUUUUCUAUCAGAAUACAUUGAACAUAUCCACAAAGAAGGUAAUAAGAAACAGAAAUACAAUGUUACUGCGAAUGGCAUCUGUGUGACAGAUACCGGUGAUGUUUAUUUCACUGACUAUAAGGACAGAAGCAUCGCCCGUCUGUCUCCAUCAGGAUCUGUCUCUACAGUAGUCAGUACACGUCCACUAAAACCGAUAGGAAUCAGUCUGUCACUGAACGGUUGUCUUCUGGUCACUUUGUCAGACACUACUAAAUCAGAGAUAUUUGUAUUAGAAUCUUACAGCAGACCUGGUGAAACACAUAACGCUGACUAGGGACGUCAUUUGUGAGUACGAGUAUCAUGAGGAUGGUCAGACUAGACUGUUUAUUUUACCUUUUAGAGUCAAACAGAACGGUAACUCUGACAUCUGUGUUGUGAAUUGGACAUCUAAUGUUACGGGUAACGUGGUGAUUCUGUCAUCCUCUGGUCGUCUGAGGUCUGUCUAUCACGGACAGAACCUGAAUAAGGAUUUUUAUCCACAUGACUUGGUGUGUGACUCCCGCUGUAACAUCCUUGUUACUGACGUCUACAAUUCUUUCAAUUUCCAUUACCGAUCUCUUCAAUUUGAAGGCGCGUUUAGUAGCGUUGUCUGGGACAAACGUCAUAUCGCGUCACGUAAGUUGUCAACGAUGGCGUCGAACUAUCACGGAUUGCAGUGCGCAGACCUCAAACAAAUACUCAAAUCGAAAGGUAUUCCCUUUUCAAACAAAAAUAUACAAGAUCUUGUUGACUUGUGUGAAAGUGCGGAUGCUCUUGAUUUACCACAAAUCAAUCUUGACGAUGUGGAGGCCUCAGUCAAGAGACGGACUGUUCGCGGGAUAACGUUCCCACAGCCUAAUGACAAGGAUUCUGACAUCGUUUGGACACCCAAUCUCGCUAACAUUCCUUCAGUCGACACCUUCGAUGUUACGAGUUUUCUGCAGAAUUACUGUGGGUGGUCUGCAGAACGCAUACGGAGAAGAAAAUCCGACAAUGGGUAUAAACUACAUUGUUCCGGCCACAUCCAUGAUGUUACAAUGGCAGUAUUAGGACCGAAACCAGCUGGACUGGUUUGAUACUGGGAUUGAACCAAGAUCUUUUGAAUGUUAAGGAGAAAAUGUGGAAAUUACUUAGCUACCUGUCAGUUCCUGGAGCAUGUCAUGGAAAUGAUCUGUGUUUCAUCAAGGGCAGAUGUGUUCCCGAAACUAGGCAGUCCAGUGAACCUUAUUCUCCAUGGAUUCUUGUUGAGAAUUCAGGACACAUUUUUUCAGCUGAAUGUACAUGUGUUGCGGGGGAUGGAUCAUGCAAACAUGUGGUUGCCCUACUAUUUGGCAUUAUCGAUCAUGUUAUAUCCAUGGAAGACAGAAGUACCAUAGGAGUGACUGAUACUGCAGCAUAUUGGGACAAACCUAGAAAAGUUUGCAGGCCAAUAGCUGUUAAUGACUUGGAUAUCAGACCUUAUUCAAUUGCAGGUUUGAUAUGAAUCUACCCGAUAAGGCACGCCCAUCUGUGGAUUCUGGCUAUCUACCCCUGAAAUCGGCAACACUGGAUCAAAGGGCAAUAGAAAGGCAUCAUGAAAGUCUUAAAGCAAAGCCAGACAGCUGCAGUGGUAUUAUAUACUCUGUCUGAUUCUGACAGCGAAAGUGAUGUGUCAAUGUUGGUUGAAGAUACUCCUCUUAACAUCAUUGAACUUUUGGCCAAACAUGGGCAAGAGAAUCUCAGCAUUGAAGAUUCUUACAUAAAUCAAGUUAGGGAACUAACAUGGGGCCAAUCAAAUAACUUGAUGUGGCAUUAUCAAAGGAAAGGUAGACUAACUGCAUCUAACUUUUACAGUGCAUUUCAUUACAGAGGCAACAGCACAGAAAAUUACAUUGUAAAGAGUAUCUUGGGAAAAUACCAAUUUACUUCGAAGUCUGUUGAAUAUGGGAAGUCACAAGAACCUGUUGCCAGAGGAAAGUACAUUGAGUACAUGUCCAGUCGGCAUCCAUCAUUUCAGUGUUCUGAGACAGGUAUAUUUGUGUACAAGGACUUUCCUUACCUUGCCGCUUCCCCAGAUGGUGUUACAGAAUGUAAAUGUUGUGGAAAAGGACUGUUGGAAAUCAAAUGUCCAUUCAGUUUUCAGAAUGAAAUUUCUCAGGUUGCUAUGUCAAAAAAUUCAUCUUGUAUUUCAGCUCAUGGCAAAUAUGAAUUGAAAAAAAAUUUGUCCUCUCCAUAUUAUGUCCAGAUGCUUGGUCAAAUGGCAAUAGGAAAUUUUUCAUUUUGUGAUGUUGUCUUAUAUACAAAGAAAGAUAUUCAUGUUGAAAGAGUUCACUAUUCAAGUGCAGAUUGGGAAUUGCUGUCAGACAAACUGAAGAGUUUUUAUACAUGCUUUGUCCUGCCAAACUUGGUUUAGAUGAAACCAGUUGCAUACAUGUUAUACUUUGUAUAUAUAGAUUUCUUUUGACAAAACCUUUUUCAUAUACCAUGUAUUCUUGACCUUGUGACCUUCACCUUCUCCAGAACAAGAUUAAUUUAGUCAUAUUGGUAUCAAAUCAUCCCCAUGUUUUUGAAUUCAAGUUCAGUUAUGUCAUGACCCUUUUUGGCUAGGUUGAGGCCACAAUAUGGGGUCCAAAUUUUUUAUGGGAAUAAAAAUUGAUAAAUUAUGUAAGAUAUCAAAAAGAAAAUCAAUUCAAAGUUAAUUUAAGUAAUCAUAUUUCAUCUUGUGACCAUGUUGAAACAUACUUUCUUAUAAAACCUGACUGAAUAAAUAGUUUUCACAAAGACCAUUCAGAUUGCAAACAGGCAUAGUGAAAGUUUUUAAGUAAUUCAACCAAACCUCAGUUAGAUUUUGAUAGACACAGCUUGUCAUAAUGUUUCAAAAUACUAAUACUUAAUUGCAUAUUCAUUUAAGAAUUAUCAUAUAUGUUUUAAUAUUGAUAUAAUUAUUAUAUGAUAAUAUUAUCAUUAGUGUUAGUACAGUGUAUGCUAUGCAUAUGUUGCAAUAUGAAUUUCUCAGGGUUUUUUUACUGCACUGUGCAUGCUGCUUGUUAUUCCUUAAGCAUGUUGCUUUUUAUUCAAGAUUCUGCACAAUGUGACAUAGGUCCAUACAAAGGAAAUGUAAUUAUAAAUUGAAGUUUU
This is an RNA transcript of Ostrea edulis (European flat oyster), 3935 nucleotides long. RefSeq lists it as uncharacterized. The transcript has 5 exons. The record is from RefSeq and is a predicted model, not a curated record. NCBI's taxonomy places the organism in Eukaryota, Metazoa, Mollusca, Bivalvia, Ostreida, Ostreidae.